Molecule: ribosomal RNA, 497 nt
Filed under: uncultured bacterium
Lineage: Bacteria
Description: partial 16S ribosomal RNA
Rfam family: Bacterial small subunit ribosomal RNA
Source: RNAcentral
GACGAACGCUGGCGGCGUGCCUAAUACAUGCAAGUUGAGCGAUGAAGAUUGGUGCUUGCACCAAUUUGAAGAGCAGCGAACGGGUGAGUAACGCGUGGGGAAUCUGCCUUUGAGCGGGGGACAACAUUUGGAAACGAAUGCUAAUACCGCAUAACAACUUUAAACAUAAGUUUUAAGUUUGAAAGAUGCAAUUGCAUCACUCAAAGAUGAUCCCGCGUUGUAUUAGCUAGUUGGUGAGGUAAAGGCUCACCAAGGCGAUGAUACAUAGCCGACCUGAGAGGGUGAUCGGCCACAUUGGGACUGAGACACGGCCCAAACUCCUACGGGAGGCAGCAGUAGGGAAUCUUCGGCAAUGGACGAAAGUCUGGACGAGCAACGCCGCGUGAGUGAAGAAGGUUUUCGGAUCGUAAAACUCUGUUGGUAGAGAAGAACGUUGGUGAGAGUGGAAAGCUCAUCAAGUGACGGUAACUACCCAGAAAGGGACGGCUAACUACGUG